This is a long non-coding RNA of Oncorhynchus tshawytscha (Chinook salmon), 628 nucleotides long. Lineage: Eukaryota; Metazoa; Chordata; Actinopteri; Salmoniformes; Salmonidae. The record is from Ensembl.
CUUAAAUUGAAUUGAGAACAGGCAGGCCAGCAGGAGGGGGGAGAGAGAGAGAGCAGGCAGGCCAGCAGGAGGGCGAGAGAGAGAGCAGGCAGGCCAGCAGGAGGGAGAGAGCGAGAGCAGGCAGGCCAGCAGGAGGGGGAGAGAGAGAGCAGGCAGGCCAGCAGGAGGGAGAGAGAGAGAGAGCAGGCAGGCCAGCAGGAGGGAGAGAGCGAGAGCAGGCAGGCCAGCAGGAGGGGGAGAGAGCGAGAGCAGGCAGGCCAGCAGGAGGGAGAGAGAGAGAGAGCAGGCAGGCCAGCAAGAGGGGAGAGAGAGAGCAGGCAGGCCAGCAAGAGGGGGAGAGAGAGAGCAGGCAGGCCAGCAGGAGGGGGAGAGAGGAGGGGAAGGCAGAAGUGUGCUCAUAUGUUUUGGUAAUCUGCAUCUCACAAUGUCUGGUCUUGCAUGCUUUACAAAUUCACCAAAGUAGCCUAAAGUUCACCUUCACCCUGUAUUUUCAUCAAGGCCUUAGUUUGUCAACGUGACCACCAGCCCAGGGCGUAUCUACCCUUCUCUGUUCCUGCCUCUAACUUCCCUCUGUAACUGGGUAUAUAAUACAAACCAACACAGUGAUCCAUUCAGCACCGAGACUCAC